AGGACGGUUCGAGUAAGUGAUAUUUCGGAACAGAAUCUAGUUCCUUCAAUUGAAGGAACUAGAUUCUGUUCCGAAAUAUCACUUACUCGAUG
This is a non-coding RNA of Paramuricea clavata, 92 nucleotides long. NCBI's taxonomy places the organism in Eukaryota, Metazoa, Cnidaria, Anthozoa, Malacalcyonacea, Plexauridae. The record is from the annotation of a GenBank genome assembly.